CUACGGGGUGCAGCAGUCGAGAAUCUUCGGCAAUGGACGAAAGUCUGACCGAGCGACGCCGCGUGCGGGAUGAAGGCCUUCGGGUUGUAAACCGCUGUCAGAGGGAAGGAAAUUUUGACCGAUCCUCAAAGGAAGUACGGGCUAAGUUCGUGCCAGCAGCCGCGGUAAGACGAACCGUACAAACGUUAUUCGGAAUCACUGGGCUUAAAGGGUGCGUAGGUGGUCUAUUAAGUUGGGUGUGAAAUCCCUCGGCUCAACCGAGGAACUGCGCUCAAUACUGGUAGACUUGAGGGAGAUAGAGGUGAGCGGAACUGAUGGUGGAGCGGUGAAAUGCGUUGAUAUCAUCGGGAACACCUGUGGCGAAAGCGGCUCACUGGAUCUCUUCUGACACUGAGGCACGAAAGCUAGGGGAGCGAACGGGAUUAGAUACCCGUGUAGUC
RNAcentral lists this ribosomal RNA (440 nucleotides) under uncultured bacterium. Its description in RNAcentral is "partial 16S ribosomal RNA". It matches the Rfam family "Bacterial small subunit ribosomal RNA", at positions 339 to 795 of the family's 1533-position model. The record is from RNAcentral.